AUGGGGAAAGAGAGAGGGUGCUCCGAGGGGGUUGUGGGAGGUACAGGUUCCCUGUGGCACCUCCGACUUUUUCUACCUAUGGUACCCAAGGAAUGUCACGGCCCAGAGUCAUUUAGAUUUAAAGGUCUGGAGCUGCCAUACCUUGAGAAAUGAACUGCUAGGCACCGCAUCUGUCAACCUCUCCAACGUCUUGAAGAACAAUGGGGGCAAAAUGGAGAACACGCAGCUGACCCUGAACCUGCAGACGGAGAACAAAGGCAGCGUUGUCUCAGGCGGAGAGCUGACAAUUUUCCUGGACGGGCCGACUGUUGAUCUGGGAAAUGUGCCUAAUGGCAGUGCCCUGACAGAUGGAUCACAGCUGCCUUCGAGAGACUCCAGUGGAACAGCAGUAGCUCCAGAGAACCGGCACCAGCCCCCCAGCACAAACUGCUUUGGUGGAAGAUCCCGGACGCACAGACAUUCGGGUGCUUCAGCCAGAACAACCCCAGCAACCGGCGAGCAAAGCCCCGGUGCUCGGAGCCGGCACCGCCAGCCCGUCAAGAACUCAGGCCACAGUGGCUUGGCCAAUGGCACAGUGAAUGAUGAACCCACAACAGCCACUGAUCCCGAAGAGCCUUCCGUUGUUGGUGUGACGUCCCCACCUGCUGCACCCUUGAGUGUGACCCCGAAUCCCAACACGACUUCUCUCCCUGCCCCAGCCACACCGGCUGAAGGAGAGGAACCCAGCACUUCGGGUACACAGCAGCUCCCAGCGGCUGCCCAGGCCCCCGACGCUCUGCCUGCUGGAUGGGAACAGCGAGAGCUGCCCAACGGACGUGUCUAUUAUGUUGACCACAAUACCAAGACCACCACCUGGGAGCGGCCCCUUCCUCCAGGCUGGGAAAAACGCACAGAUCCCCGAGGCAGGUUUUACUAUGUGGAUCACAAUACUCGGACCACCACCUGGCAGCGUCCGACCGCGGAGUACGUGCGCAACUAUGAGCAGUGGCAGUCGCAGCGGAAUCAGCUCCAGGGGGCCAUGCAGCACUUCAGCCAAAGAUUCCUCUACCAGUCUUCGAGUGCUUCGACUGACCAUGAUCCCCUGGGCCCCCUCCCUCCUGGCUGGGAGAAGAGACAGGACAAUGGACGGGUGUAUUACGUGAACCAUAACACUCGCACGACCCAGUGGGAGGAUCCCCGGACCCAGGGGAUGAUCCAGGAACCAGCUCUGCCCCCAGGAUGGGAGAUGAAAUACACCAGCGAGGGGGUGCGAUACUUUGUGGACCACAAUACCCGCACCACCACCUUUAAGGAUCCUCGCCCGGGGUUUGAGUCGGGGACGAAGCAAGGUUCCCCUGGUGCUUAUGACCGCAGUUUUCGGUGGAAGUAUCACCAGUUCCGUUUCCUCUGCCAUUCAAAUGCCCUACCUAGCCACGUGAAGAUCAGCGUUUCCAGGCAGACGCUUUUCGAAGAUUCCUUCCAACAGAUCAUGAACAUGAAACCCUAUGACCUGCGCCGCCGGCUCUACAUCAUCAUGCGUGGCGAGGAGGGCCUGGACUAUGGGGGCAUCGCCAGAGAGUGGUUUUUCCUCCUGUCUCACGAGGUGCUCAACCCUAUGUAUUGUUUAUUUGAAUAUGCCGGAAAGAACAAUUACUGCCUGCAGAUCAACCCCGCCUCCUCCAUCAACCCGGACCACCUCACCUACUUUCGCUUUAUAGGCAGAUUCAUCGCCAUGGCGCUGUACCAUGGAAAGUUCAUCGACACGGGCUUCACCCUCCCUUUCUACAAGCGGAUGCUCAAUAAGAGACCAACCCUGAAAGACCUGGAGUCCAUUGACCCUGAGUUCUACAACUCCAUUGUCUGGAUCAAAGAGAACAACCUGGAAGAAUGUGGCCUGGAGCUGUACUUCAUCCAGGACAUGGAGAUACUGGGCAAGGUGACGACCCACGAGCUGAAGGAGGGCGGCGAGAGCAUCCGGGUCACGGAGGAGAACAAGGAAGAGUACAUCAUGCUGCUGACUGACUGGCGUUUCACCCGAGGCGUGGAAGAGCAGACCAAAGCCUUCCUGGAUGGCUUCAACGAGGUGGCCCCGCUGGAGUGGCUGCGCUACUUUGACGAGAAAGAGCUGGAGCUGAUGCUGUGCGGCAUGCAGGAGAUAGACAUGAGCGACUGGCAGAAGAGCACCAUCUACCGGCACUACACCAAGAACAGCAAGCAGAUCCAGUGGUUCUGGCAGGUGGUGAAGGAGAUGGACAACGAGAAGAGGAUCCGGCUGCUGCAGUUUGUCACUGGUACCUGCCGCCUGCCCGUCGGGGGAUUUGCCGAACUCAUCGGUAGCAACGGACCACAGAAGUUUUGCAUUGACAAAGUUGGCAAGGAAACCUGGCUGCCCAGAAGCCACACCUGCUUCAACCGUCUGGAUCUUCCACCCUACAAGAGCUAUGAACAGCUGAGAGAGAAGCUGCUGUUUGCCAUUGAGGAGACCGAGGGCUUUGGACAGGAGUAACCGAGGCCGCCCCUCCCACGCCCCCCAGCGCACAUGUAGUCCUGAGUCCUCCCUGCCUGAGAGGCCACUGGCCCCGCAGCCCUUGGGAGGCCCCCGUGGAUGUGGCCCUGUGUGGGACCACACUGUCAUCUCGCUGCUGGCAAAAAAGCCUGAUCCCAGGAGGCCCUGCAGUUCCCCCGACCCGCGGAUGGCAGUCUGGAAUAAAGCCCCCUAGUUGCCUUUGGCCCCACCUUUGCAA
This 2723-nucleotide small RNA is filed under the name Pan troglodytes (chimpanzee). RNAcentral's name for it is "processed transcript". Lineage: Eukaryota; Metazoa; Chordata; Mammalia; Primates; Hominidae. The record is from RNAcentral.